This 1220-nucleotide ribosomal RNA is filed under the name Variovorax paradoxus. Its description in RNAcentral is "bacterial LSU rRNA". It matches the Rfam family "Bacterial large subunit ribosomal RNA", at positions 786 to 1997 of the family's 2925-position model. Lineage: Bacteria; Pseudomonadati; Pseudomonadota; Betaproteobacteria; Burkholderiales; Comamonadaceae. The record is from RNAcentral.
CCGUUGCAAAGGUAGGGGAUGAGGUGUGAUUAGGAGUGAAAAGCUAAUCGAACCCGGAGAUAGCUGGUUCUCCUCGAAAGCUAUUUAGGUAGCGCCUCAAGUAUCACUGUUGGGGGUAGAGCACUGUUAUGGCUAGCGGGUCAUUGAGACUUAGCAAACCAUUGCAAACUCCGAAUACCAACACGUGCAAGCUUGGGAGACACACGGCGGGUGCUAACGUCCGUCGUGAAAAGGGAAACAACCCAGACCCGCAGCUAAGGUCCCAAAAUCAUGGCUCAGUGGUGAACGAUGUGGGAAGGCAUAGACAGCCAGGAGGUUGGCUUAGAAGCAGCCAUCCUUUAAAGAAAGCGUAAUAGCUCACUGGUCGAGUCGGCCUGCGCGGAAGAUUUAACGGGGCUAAGCCAUGUACCGAAGCUCGGGGUUCACACUUUGGUGUGAGCGGUAGAGGAGCGUUCGCCUGUGAAGGUGAGUCGUAAGGCUUGCUGGAGGUAUCGGAAGUGCGAAUGCUGACAUGAGUAACGAUAAGGGGGGUGAAAAGCCUCCCCGCCGAAAGCCCAAGGUUUCCUCGCGCAACGUUAAUCGGCGCAGGGUGAGUCGGCCCCUAAGGCGAGGCGGAAACGCGUAGUCGAUGGGAAGCGGGUUAAUAUUCCCGCACCGCUCGUGAUUGCGAUGGAGUGACGGAGAAGGCUAGGUGUACCGGGCGUUGGUUGUCCCGGGGAAAGGCGGUAGGUGUGGAUCUUAGGCAAAUCCGGGAUCCUCUACACCGAGCACCGAGACGAGUCCUUUUGAGGACGAAGUCACUGACGCCACGCUUCCAGGAAAAACUUCUAAGCUUCAGAUCACGAGGACCGUACCGCAAACCGACACAGGUAGGCAGGGUGAGAAUCCCAAGGCGCUUGAGAGAACUCGGGUGAAGGAACUAGGCAACAUAGCACCGUAACUUCGGGAGAAGGUGCGCCCUUGAUCGUGGCUCCGUGCGGAGCUGAGCGAUCGAGGGCCGCAGUGACCAGGCCGCUGCGACUGUUUAUCAAAAACACAGCACUCUGCAAACACGAAAGUGGACGUAUAGGGUGUGACGCCUGCCCGGUGCCGGAAGGUUAAUUGAUGGGGUCAGCCGCAAGGCGAAGCUCUUGAUCGAAGCCCCGGUAAACGGCGGCCGUAACUAUAACGGUCCUAAGGUAGCGAAAUUCCUUGUCGGGUAAGUUCCGACCUGCACGAAU